UACCCUCAGCACAAGUGGUGGUCAUUAUUAUUGGGCCUAAAGCGUCCGUAGCUGGCGUGUUAGAUGCCUGGGUAAAUCGAUGCGCUUAACGCAUCGAACUCCGGGUAGACCGGCACGCUCGAGACCGGGAGAGGCAUGGGCUACUCGCGGGGUAGGGGUAAAAUCCUGUAAUCCUGCGGGGAGGACCAGUGGCGAAGGCGCCAUGCUAGAACGGCUCUGACAGUGAGGGACGAAGCCCUGGGGCGCAAACCGG
RNAcentral lists this ribosomal RNA (253 nucleotides) under uncultured bacterium. Its description in RNAcentral is "partial 16S ribosomal RNA". It matches the Rfam family "Archaeal small subunit ribosomal RNA", at positions 474 to 727 of the family's 1478-position model. The record is from RNAcentral.